GGGGGUGUAAUGGUAUCGACAUUAUACUAGAAAUAUAGAUAGCGAGUAGUGGACUCCGUUGGCCACUUAAAAAAACGGAAAAAUAAAUAUAAACGCUGAUAAUACAGAAUUAGCUUUAGCUGCUUAGUUUGCAGCUGCGCAUUACUAUUAGGCCCACACUUUUAGAUAAUGUGUCAUGAUAGUGGGAAACGAAACUAUUUUUUUCUUUAGGAAUAGAGGGUAUUUAAUAAGGGUAUAUUUAAUUUAAGCUUGUUUAUUUGCAUAAAUUAAACGAAAAUAGAAAAUAAACUGCACUCGGAGAAGUUUAUAUGGAAGGUAUUAUGGACAGGAGUUCGACUCUCCUCACCUCCACCA
Molecule: transfer-messenger RNA, 354 nt
Filed under: compost metagenome
Description: transfer-messenger RNA, SsrA
Rfam family: transfer-messenger RNA
About the family: Bacterial tmRNA, also known as 10Sa RNA or SsrA, is named for its dual tRNA and mRNA-like properties. Its role is to liberate the mRNA from a stalled ribosome.
Source: RNAcentral